Molecule: ribosomal RNA, 514 nt
Filed under: uncultured bacterium
Lineage: Bacteria
Description: partial 16S ribosomal RNA
Rfam family: Bacterial small subunit ribosomal RNA
Source: RNAcentral
GAUGAACGCUGGCGGCGUGCCUAAUACAUGCAAGUCGAGCGAACAGAUGAGAAGCUUGCUUCUCUGAUGUUAGCGGCGGACGGGUGAGUAACACGUGGGUAACCUACCUAUAAGACUGGGAUAACUCCGGGAAACCGGGGCUAAUACCGGAUAAUAUUUUGAACCGCAUGGUUCAAUAGUGAAAGACGGUUUCGGCUGUCACUUAUAGAUGGACCCGCGCCGUAUUAGCUAGUCGGUAAGGUAACGGCUUACCAAGGCGACGAUACGUAGCCGACCUGAGAGGGUGAUCGGCCACACUGGAACUGAGACACGGUCCAGACUCCUACGGGAGGCAGCAGUAGGGAAUCUUCCGCAAUGGGCGAAAGCCUGACGGAGCAACGCCGCGUGAGUGAUGAAGGUCUUCGGACCGUAAAACUCUGUUGUUAGGGAAGAACAAAUUUGUUAGUAACUGAACAAGUCUUAACGGUACCUAACCAGAAAGCCACGGCUAACUACGUGCCAGCCGCCGCGGUAA